Molecule: ribosomal RNA, 252 nt
Filed under: uncultured bacterium
Lineage: Bacteria
Description: partial 16S ribosomal RNA
Rfam family: Bacterial small subunit ribosomal RNA
Source: RNAcentral
UACGGAGGAUGCGAGCGUUAUCCGGAUUUAUUGGGCUUAAAGGGUGCGUAGGCGGACGCUUAAGUCAGCGGUAAAAUUGCGGGGCUCAACCUCGUCGAGCCGUUGAAACUGGGUGUCUUGAGUGGGCGAGAAGUACGCGGAAUGCGUGGUGUAGCGGUGAAAUGCAUAGAUAUCACGCAGAACUCCGAUUGCGAAGGCAGCGUACCGGCGCCCUACUGACGCUGAAGCACGAAGGCGUGGGUAUCGAACAGG